Molecule: transfer RNA, 72 nt
Filed under: Hariotina sp. MMOGRB0030F
Lineage: Eukaryota; Viridiplantae; Chlorophyta; Chlorophyceae; Sphaeropleales; Scenedesmaceae
Description: tRNA-Cys
Rfam family: tRNA
About the family: Transfer RNA (tRNA) molecules are approximately 80 nucleotides in length. Their secondary structure includes four short double-helical elements and three loops (D, anti-codon, and T loops). Further hydrogen bonds mediate the characteristic L-shaped molecular structure. tRNAs have two regions of fundamental functional importance: the anti-codon, which is responsible for specific mRNA codon recognition, and the 3' end, to which the tRNAs corresponding amino acid is attached (by aminoacyl-tRNA synthetases). tRNAs cope with the degeneracy of the genetic code in two manners: having more than one tRNA (with a specific anti-codon) for a particular amino acid; and 'wobble' base-pairing, i.e. permitting non-standard base-pairing at the 3rd anti-codon position.
Source: RNAcentral
GGCAAUGUAGUCUAAUGGUGAAGGCAUGAGUUUGCAAAACUUAAAAUAGCAGUUCAAUUCUGCUCAUUGCUU